CCCUUAGAUGUUCUGGGCCGCACGCGCGCUACACUGACGAAUGCAACGAGCUUAUAACCUUGGCCGAAAGGUCUGGGUAAUCUCCAAAUUUCGUCGUGAUGGGGAUAGAUUAUUGCAAUUAUUAAUCUUCAACGAGGAAUGCCUAGUAAGCGCAAGUCAUCAGCUUGCGUUGAUUACGUCCCUGCCCUUUGUACACACCGCCCGUCGCUCCUACCGAUUUCGAGUGGUCCGGUGAAUCUUUCGGACUGCGCGCGGCCUCGUGCCGUGUCGCGGAAAGUCAGGUAAACCUUAUCACUUAGAGGAAGGAGAAGUCGUAACA
RNAcentral lists this ribosomal RNA (319 nucleotides) under uncultured eukaryote. RNAcentral's name for it is "partial 18S ribosomal RNA". It matches the Rfam family "Eukaryotic small subunit ribosomal RNA", at positions 1470 to 1796 of the family's 1831-position model. The record is from RNAcentral.